GGCUGGUCCGAACGUAGUGAGCUAUCCCAAGUGAUUGUUCACAGUCGGUUACAGGUGGAACUCCUCAUUCUAUUUAUUCCCUCCUUCUCACUAUUGCACUUAACUAAGAA
The sequence is a Y RNA, 110 nucleotides long. It matches the Rfam family "Y RNA". Rfam says of the family: Y RNAs are components of the Ro ribonucleoprotein particle (Ro RNP), in association with Ro60 and La proteins. The Y RNAs and Ro60 and La proteins are well conserved, but the function of the Ro RNP is not known. In humans the RNA component can be one of four small RNAs -- hY1, hY3, hY4 and hY5. The record is from Ensembl.